UACGUAGGGGGCGAGCGUUGUCCGGAGUUACUGGGCGUAAAGCGCACGCAGGCGGUCUGCUAAGUUUGGAGUGACAGUUGGUGGCUUAACUGCCAAAGUGCUUCGAAAACUGACAGACUUGAGGGCUUCAGAGGGACACGGAAUUCCGGGUGGAGUGGUGAAAUGCGUAGAGAUCGGAAGGAACACCAACGGCGAAAGCACUCUGCUGGGCCGACACUGACACUGAGAGACGAAAGCUAGGGGAGCGAAUGGG
Molecule: ribosomal RNA, 253 nt
Filed under: uncultured bacterium
Lineage: Bacteria
Description: partial 16S ribosomal RNA
Rfam family: Bacterial small subunit ribosomal RNA
Source: RNAcentral